Molecule: long non-coding RNA, 12476 nt
Filed under: Homo sapiens (human)
Lineage: Eukaryota; Metazoa; Chordata; Mammalia; Primates; Hominidae
Description: non-protein coding lnc-TSN-14:7
Source: RNAcentral
ACUCAUUUGGCAGCUAUCAACGGAGUAUUCACAGUACGCUGCUCACAGUUCUAACCGCGGAGGAUAGAGUUGAGGCCCACACGACAGCCCCUGCUCUCACAGAACUGAUGUCUCUAGAAGAGUCUUCCCUCAGUGAGAACGUUCUGAUUUCUAGAACAUUCUUUCUUCUGAUGAGUGAACAGCCUCACCGGAACUUCCCCAUCCUCCUGGCUUGGUUCCUGAAGUGGCCCAAGGCUGCCUUCUCCCUCCCGUGGGUGAACAGGGUCACUGCUUCCUCUCUUGUCCAGGCCCCCUGGCCUGACCCUGAGUCCCGGGCGUAACGGCGUUGUUGAACCACCACAACCCCAGGCGGCGCCUUCCUCUUGGCCCAGGGGCUCUCUUGGGGACAGUGUGCAGUACUCCCCAAGGGGGCUUUGCUGUGCAAAAGCAGCCCCUGCCGAUGCUGCGGCUCCCGUGGAUGGAGCACUGCCGUGGGAACAGAGUUGGAACUCAUCCAAAAGAAUAAAAGACAACUGUGUUGGAAGAUUGCCAAGGUUUGUAGCUGUGCCACCGCAGACUUCAGAGAUGAACACUGCCUUGGAGACGAGGAGGAUUCAAGUUGCAGAAGCAUUUAGUAACCUUCAUCACCCCCAAGUGGAUGGUCUCCAUUUUCCAAGCUGGCAGCUCACCCCCUCUCUCUGUGCCUCUGCUGCUGCGGUCCACACACCUGGAAUGCCCUCUGCACCCUGCACACGGCAUCCCCCCUCCUUCAAGCAUCGGUCAGAGGCCCCAUCCUCCUACCAGCUCCCUGAUCGCUCCAGUCUGGUGCAUUCAUUGUGUAUCAUUUCUCGCAGGCCCCUGGGUACAAUAGCUGUUUGUAUCCAUUGGUUAUUAAUCUGGGGGGAAUGGCGGCAAAUUUAUCUUAUAGUCCCACAGGUAAACUUUCUGAACCUCUGGUUUUGUCUGUAGAAUUGGUAUAGCCAUUCCUUCAAAAUAGGUGUUUGAAGAAUAUUCAAUAUUAAAACUAACUAUUUAUAAGUAUGUAAAGCUCCUAACAGAGUAUCUGACACAUAGUAGUAAACACACAAUUAUUGUCUAUAGCAGGUGCAGCCAUUUUCAAACGAAGGAAAAGAGGAAGGAAAGAAGGAAGGCAGAAAAAAGGAAGGAAGAAUGGAAAGAAUGGGGGGAGGGAGGAAAGGAGGAAGGCAGGAAGGAAGGGUGAGAAGAAGGAAGGAGGGAAGGGUAAGAAAGCUAAUUUUCUAGAACUUCCUUAACUGUGCCCCUCCCUGCUGUCAGACCCCCAUGGCUUUACCCAUACUCUGGGUUUUCAUGAACACACGGGCAUGUGCUCAACACCUUCUCCUUCCAGCUCCAGAUGCUUUCCUGCAGGUCUCUACCUCAGCUGGCCUCUUUGCAGGAAAUUAACGGCGUCUCCUACCUUCUGGCUCCCAGUUGCGCUGGGCCAGUGGGGCAUAUCGAAAGGAGAGAGAGAGACAGGGCAUUUAUUCUUGGCUUCUUCCCUGUGUGGUUGCCCAGGCUGGCUGUUCCUGACUGAAGGCCUCCUGGCCUGAUGGAGCUGUCUUUCCUCUUCCAGUGGCUGCUCUUGCCCCUCUUCAGGUGAAGAACAUGCUGGUUUCAGGUUGUGACUCACCCCGAGGGGCUUGUGGAUUCCUUAUUCCCAGCUCACAACGUUGUAGCCCUUUAUUAAACACCCCUAACACGUUCCAGAUAGUCUUCCUUCCAAGACCCCAAGGAACACACUCCAUACACGCCUUGUGCUUCAAAUCUCAGAAUCACUGUGUCAAGCAAGAGAAGCCACCCAGGAAACAUAUGUGGGUGAAGUCAAGAACAGGCAGGACCGACCUACUGUGAUGGAAGUCAGAACACUGGAGGUUCAGUUUUGGAUUGGAGUUGACUUGAGGAAACUUUCUGAGGUUUGGAAAUGCUCUGUAUCCUGUUGAGGGUGGUGGUUGUGUGAGUAUAUGCAAUGGUCAAAACUCAUUGAACCCAUACACACGUUUUAUGGUAUCUAAAUGAUACCCCAAUAAGAAGUAAAUACAUAAGAUUACAAAGGAAAAUAACUGUGUUAAAAUAAGAUUAUUAAGAUGUCCAAUACAAAGAAGAUCCUCGUAGUUCCUCAACACACACAGCAACACACGCAUCAGAAUCCUAGGCUCCAGAACCCCAGAGAUGCACUGUCUGGAUGGACCUCUAACAAAGCAACCCCUGAAGGUGCAGCACCCAUCUUGCCGCCCAGGCAAUGCCUCUUCCAAAGGAAUGUACAACUCUUAGAAACAGGGACAUGGUCCCUGGCACAAUCCUAAGCACAGAGUAGGUACCUAAAGCUUGAAACCAAAAGUCAGCCCUCACUUAACAAAUGGAUGAAGAGUCAAAUAGAUUCUUAUUCUGAGCUAGGCAGCAGGUUAGCUACUAGAAGAGCCUAGUCUUCAGUUUUUAAAUUUAAUCUCGUAAACUCAGAAGACUCGUUGGCUCUUGGAGGUUUAGAUGAAUCUGGCUCACCUCUCAACCCCAGGGGUUCAAAGCUUGUGAAAAAUGCUUUGUUUCUCCAGAGAUGCCCCUGUCUCUACUCCCUUGGCUGUGACUGUCAUCUCACUACUACCUCCAUGAUAAUCUGGGCUCAGAUAUCUGCCAUUUGGGUGAGAAAAUCUGCUCCAGCCAAGCAAUGUGUGCUGAGUGGCUUCAUGAAGGACAUUAGGGUGUCAUGGUGCAGGGUUGCCGCUGACUGUCUGAUUAUCAUCAGCCUCCAGUGUGCUCCCUGCAUGCCUGCUUGCAGUCCACUGACUCCUUUAACUUAAAUCCCAGUGGGUGACCUUCUAUACCCUAAGCAUUCACUUGGGAAAUGGAAACUAUUCAUUCUUCUUCUUCUUUUUUUUUUUUUUUUUUUUUUGAGACAAAGUCUCGCUCUGUAGCCCAAGCUGGAGUGCAGUGGCUCGAUCUUGGCUCACUGCAACCUCUGCCUCCCCGGUCCUAGUUCAAGCAAUUCUCCUGCCUCAGCCUCCCAAAUGGCUGGGAUUAUAGGCAUGCGUCACCAUGCCCAGCUAAUUUUUGUAUUUUUAGUAGAGAUGGAGUUACAUCAUGUUGGCCAGGCUGGUCUUGAACUCCUGACCUCAUGAUCCACUUGCCUCAGCCUCCCAAAGUGCUGGGAUUACAGACGUGAGCCACCACACCCAGCCAAAACUAUUCCUUCUACUUUCUCCCAACACAGUGGCCUCUUUCCGACUUUUUUUGAGUUUUUUUCAGGGAUCAACCAAGCUAGGCAAUUUUGCCUUUUAUACAAUCUCCUGAAAUUCUAGUGAAUAACUUUUUUUUUUUCUCAUCUUCCGAUAUCUUGUGAUGGUCCCAAUGCAGAUGAUCUGUCCAGGGGAUGGAUGAGGAAAAGACAAGAAAUGAUGCCCAACUGUGGCCUCCAGACUGACCUCCCCUGACACUGCUUACUCCAUAGGUGAUGGGCAGUACGCUCUUAUGAGACUUUAUUUGAGGAUCUGUUUCCAUGGUACAGGCUAGGUAGGGGACAUAUCUUGUCCCUUCUAUACAGGGCUUCUCAGUCAGGCUGGGCUACUCGUGGUCAGCAGAAGUUUUCAGGCAACUGGGAUACAGAAAGAGCUGAGUGAGGGUGUGAAGAUGGCGAGGAGGGCCAUGGAAGUUCCAGGCUGAGGCUUUGGCAACUCCUUCCACCCUCAGAGCCAGGGUUUACAGGUUUGCCCAUCCAUUUCUGACCCUUCUUCCAGGAGCUAGGAUUGGAAAGGAGUACCUGUACUAACUGGCUUUUCUUCAUUCUCUGACCUCAGUUUCUGGAAUUCUUUUUGGUGCAAUUUGCCCCAAGUUGUCCAUCAAGAGUUGAAGGCAAAAUAAAUGGAGGGCAGUUCAUCUCCCCAAAUCUUUGAGGAAUAUUGUAUUUCUUGCCUUUUCUCCACAGUACUUGGGCUCUAAUGGGUCGCAUGUAAUAGCUGCCUGUAGGGUCACACAUGCACCGGGGGAUGGGUGCAGUGUCUCUUCAGAGCCUCUGGCUUGCUCUGAAGAUCCCUUCUGACUGGAAUGGGAAACCUAACAAUUAUUUCUCCCUGUUGGGAGUUCAGGCUUCUCCAUAAGCUUUGGCUCUGGGGAUGUAAGCUGAACCUUCCAGACCUCUGAGAGGCUUGUCUCCUGGGGACAGCAGAUGACCAUCACCUUCCAUCUGUCUUCCUAAAUGAGCAAGAAUCAGCAAUUCUUGCAUGGGCUUAGUUUCUCUAGGGAUGUCUUGCUGGCAGUUGUUUUCUCAUCACCUUGCUCCAGUGGGACCUGGUCUUCCAAAUUGCAAGCAGGAGGAGUUGGCAUGCAGCUUACUGCCAAAAUCUCAGGAUGUUUUACACCUCGAGGUCUCUUCUUCUUCCUGGUGCUGUGUACUCAGAAACCUGCCACAUAGAUCACAACACUGUGCACAUUCCUGAAUGCUUGUGUGCUGUUGGAUAUUGUUGCCUGGAGACAGGGAGAGUUAUGACUUUUUGACCUUGUAUAAUUUUCAAUUCUGGACCAUGCAAUUUUUCUAUUUAUCACCAUUGCUUCUCCACGUCUGAGGCCUGACUCCUUGGGAACAUUUCAGCAGCUCAGAAUCCUCCUCUUCAAUCUGGCUGUGCCUUCUCGCAGAUGCCAUAUGUUGGCUCACAUCCAUGUGGCUGUGGCCAGUGGAUCCCAGCUUGCCUGGCAGUUACUCCUUAGGAGGAUACCAGGCUCUGGGGAGUCUGCCCCAGCAGGUGAAUCAGGAGAAAGGCCCUUCUCAAUGAUCAAAGUUUUUUGUUCCUUUUUCAGGAUUGUGUGUCACUUAAGAAGCUGCAGUAAUCACCCAUGGCCAGGAUUUCCUCUGGUUGGUGGGUUGAUGAGUUUAUUCCUUGUCAUGCAAUGCCCUGGCUAAGACACCACAGAAUGCUUUGUAUGUGUUGCUCUCUCUACCUGCCUGACCUGUGUGUUACUCCACACAUUUCCAUGUGAACCUCAGGGUUCUGUCAACCCUCUCCCCUGGCCCAAGCAACAACAUGGCCAGUGCAGAAACAGUCAUCUUUCUUCCUUGAGCUGUAGGUUCCCUGGUCUCAUAGUCAAGAUGAGGGUGGACUUAGACCCACUAUUAGACUCAAAAUACUGCAUUUUGCAUUGGGGGCCAGUUUAUCUGCUGGUCCAGUGUUCUGGGGCUGCUCAGAUGUCACUUGGGGCUGCUUUAGAUCCCGAAUAUUUAGGGAAACAUGGCUCAAGCCUUCAGUCUCAUGGACUAUAUGAGCCCAGAGCUCUCCCCACAAUUCCUGUGAAUUCUAACCUUGGGUCCUCAGGGUCCCAUGUGGACCCCUUUGCCAAUGGGAUGCAAAUUUCUGCUGGUUCACAGAUUUCCUCUAAAAAUUUUACUGAAAGCUUAUCUUCUGCCACUUCUGUGCUUUUUGUUGGCUUAUUUGUUUCGUUUUUUGUUUUUAUUUUUUUAGUAAAAAAUAGGCACUAUAGGCAGGUCAGCUUUCCAUAUUUUCCUUUUCCCAAUUAUGAUGAAUAUAGUUUUAUUUAUUUAAUUAGCUAAGUAUUUUUAUGUUGGACUUUGCAGCAGCCUCAAGUAUUAUUUCAGACUUGGCAGGCAGCAUUUCCUGCACAGGUAGGUGUGAAUUUAUAAGCAAGGAGGUUGGAGGUUAGUGGUGAUUAUUUAACACUAUUUGGCUUAACAGAUGUAAUCUAAAUAUAGAUAAAUGAGAAAAAUGAGAGUUAAAACACCUAUUUCCGCCAUUUGAACCAGCAAUCCCGUUACUGGGUAUAUACCCAAAGGAUUAUAAAUCAUUCUACUAUAAGACACAUACACAUAUAUGUUUAUUACAGCAGUGUUCACAAUAGCAAAGACUUGGAACCAACCCAAAUGCCCAUCAGUGAUAGACAAGGUAAAGAAAAUGUGGCACAUAUACACCAUGGAACCAUAAAAAGGGAUGAGUUCAUGUCCUUUUCAGGGACAUUGAUGAAUCUGGAAACCAUCAUUCUCAGCAAAGUUAACACAGGAACAGAAAACCAAACACUGCAUGUUCUCACUUACAAGUGGGAGUUGAACAAUGAGAACACGUGGACACAGGGAGGGGAACAUUACAUACCGGGACCUGUCGGGGGAUGAGGGGCUAAGGGAGGGAGAGCAUUAGGGGAAAUACCUAAUUUAGAUGAUGGGUUGAUGGGUGCAGCAAACCACCAUGGCACGUGUAUACCUAUGUAACAAACCUGCACAUUCUGCACAUGUAUCCCAGAACUUAAAGUAUAAUUCAAAAUAAAAAAGAAAAACAAAAAACACCUAUUUCCAUAUUUAUGUAUGUUUCCUCAAAAAGUACAAUGGCUUUUUUUCCCUCUACUUCUCAAACUUAUUUUUAUUAAAACCAUUGCAUUCUUAUUAUUAAGUAUUUACUCUAUGUGUAUUUUAAAUAAGACUUAUAAUUGGAUUAAAUAAAUAGUAUGUAGUAAGUUGCAAUUGUGACUUUGUUCAAAUUUCCAGAUAUUUUAAAUCACCACUUAAUGCAAUCCUGGCUCUAACAUUGAGGCAUAAGUAUAUUUCACACACAUUUCUUAUUCUAGGGGUUAGACUGCUUUCUAGGCAAUGUUCUUUCCAAAUAUUCAGCCUUUCUGAAGACUGGAUGUGAUUCUUUUUAAUUUUUUUUAAGAUGGAGUUGCACUCUUGUUGCCCAGGCUGGAAUACAAUGGCAUGAUCUCGGCUCACCACAACCUCUGCCUCCCAGGUUCAAGCAAUUCUCCUGUCUCAGCCUUCCAAGUAGCUUGGAUUACAGGCACAUGCCACCACACCUGGCUAAUUUUUGUAUUUUUCUUUUAGUAGAGACGGCGUUUCAUCAUAUUGGUCAGGCUGGCCUUGAACUCCUGACCUCAGGUGAUCUGCCCACCUUGGCCUCCCAAAGUGCUGGGAUUACAGGCAUGAGCCACCACACCCGGCCGGAUGUGAUUCUUUAUAGGAAUUUUCGCUGGAAAACUUUUUAUUUAACUGCUUAACCUGAAUAAAAUAAUAAUAAUGAUGAUAAUGAUAAUAAUUUCAGCCAGGUGUGGUGGCAUAUGCCUGUAUGCCAGAUAGUCUGGAGACUGAGGUGAGAAGAUCAUUUGAGCCCGGGAGUCCAAGUCCAGCCUGGGUAACAUAGCCAGAUUCUGUCUCUAAAAAAUAUAAUAAAAUAAACACAAAUUUUGCUUCUUUGACUCUUUCCAUGAGACUUAGAAGAAAAUAUAUGCAUAGCUUUCUGUUCCUUUCCUAGCCAACAGAACACCUCCUUCACAGUUUUGUGAUUAAAGAACAUGAUGUCCACCAUAUUUUUAAGUGAUAAUCUGCUCGUGUUUAAUGGUCUAUUGCUGCCUUUAUCUCUAUUUCUCUAUAGAUGCAUUUUUCAAACGUAAGAUGUCCAUACCAUUUUGUCUUGUUUACUCACUUAUCCUAAACAUAUUCCAGUGUUUCUCCAGAGUCUUCAAUAAAUGUAAUUAUUAACACCCAUAAUCUACCAUUCUAGCUGCAUUUACAACAAUCAAAACUUUUAUUUUCCCUUUAACAUCUAUAAAUGCAUUUGCACAAAAAGCUGCUCUUAGCCUGUGGUUUUAGGUGAGCUGCCUGGGUUGGGCUCCUGACUUUGCUUCACACUGGCUCUGACUUUGCAGAAGUUACUCACCACCCUAGUGUUCUCAUCUGUAGAAUGCUGGUAAUAAUAGUGCCUUCUUCAUUGGACUGGCUUGGGGAUCAAAUGUGUAAUUACUUUGAAUGCCUUUGGAUCAGGGUCUGGCACAGACUAACCCCUCAAUAAAUGUCGACUAUCACUGUUUUCCCAUGCUUACUUUUAUUUUUGCAAAUGUCUACACUGGAAAUCAUCACUAGUUCCCCAGGCUGCCUGUGUAUCUGUGUAGGUUGUGCAACACAUACUCUUAAUUCUUUUCACUCUUCACCGUUUGUGGAGAAUCCCCUGGAAACUCUACUUUCUGAUUUAAGUGGGUUUCCAGGUAGAGUAAAUUAAAGCAUCUUGGUGUGGAGGCCACCUGGCCACCUUGCCUUAAUUAUAGAAGUAACAAUAGCAUUCCCUAAGAAGACAGCUGCUGCUUCUGAAAAUUUAGGUGACAUGUGCCUUGUGGAACAUGCUUUGUGUGACAAGAAGCGAUUUAAUUUCUUUGCAGGUAGACACAAACAAAGAGGCAACAAAGAAAUUAGAAGGUUGUAUAAGAAGCUGCAUAGAAUCACAAUGACUGCGUUGUCCUGAAACCAACCCAGGUGACUUUCUGAAUAAGUUGGUGCUCAAUUAAUUUACUGUUAACUAGUACUCCUAUAGCUAGCUACAUUGCUUUCUAGUUCCAAUUAGACCAUUAGGAAGUUUGGCAAGUUGAACUUUUCUCUGUGUCUCAAAUCUGCCAUUCUUCAAAUGGAGAGAAAGAAUCUGAACUUCACAGGGAGUAAAACACUUUGAAAUGUAAAUAUAAAUGUAGAUGCAUAUAUACAAUAAACCAUAAAAUAUUAUGCAAAUAUCUUAUUAACACUAUGCAUUUUCUUGGAAAGGAGGUAAAGGCUGAGAUGAUUUUCAUUCACAUUUUCAGGGUGCUCAUCUUUCAAUUAAAAUUGGGAGUAGCGGUUUUUGUGAAUGAAGAAAAGUUUAUUCAGAUAUAUAUUUAACUCACAUGAUAGAGGGACCCUGUGGAGGUCUCUGUAUAAUAUAAUACCAUCCUUUCUUUUCAGAGAUGUCUUUACUUUUCAAAGACCACCUGGGUGAGCAGGGGGGAAGACCAGGGUCAGGCUCACAGACCUUCCCCUACUGUGUGCUGCCGAGGCUGUACUUUGAGUAAAUUUCAUUUUGAAUCAGCAAAGACAAAAGGCAUUGCUUGGUAGAAGCACAGUGGAUUUAAAAUUAGAAGACCUGCGUUUGCCUUUGCUUCUCCUGGGCAAUUCUUAACACAUUAAGAAUCUUUCCCUAGUGUCCUGCUCUUCUAUCUGCUUGCUGAUUUUCUCUGAAGUGCGUUGCAUGUCCACAUGGUCCAGAUCCCUACCCACUUCUCUUCUGACUGUCACUUGGAUUCAAAUAUAACUACCUUUUAGUUAUAAGUAUAUAUAAAAAAACUAUGAACAUAGCCUUUCUAGCUAGCUAUAUUGCUUUCUAGCACUUUUGAAUGACAGAAUUACAUUUUUGUUUAAUCCCAGAGAUUAUCAUGUCACUAAGUUUUUCUUUACAUAUUAAUUUAAAGCUAAGCUUUAAUUGAAAAAGAAAUCUGAUAUUAAAGUAGAAAUUUUCUUGCAUGCAAUCAGAUUCUAUCAAAGACUUAAGAAAUUAUUCAUUUUUAAGGAAAUAAGGAUAUGUUUUAAAAAUACAAAACUUAUAUGGAAACAGUUUGUUAUAGGCUGAAUUGCAUCCCUCCAAAUUCAUAUGUGGAAUUGCUAACUGCCAGUACCUCAGAAUGCGACCUUACUUGGAAAUAGGCUCAUUGCAAAUGCAAUUAGUUAGGAUGAGGUCAUACUGGAGUAGGGUGGGGCCCUAAUCCAAUGUGACUGGUGUUUUUAUGAAAGGGGAAAUGUGGACAUUGACACACAUACACAGUGCACCACGUCAAGACGAAGGCAGAGAUCAGGGUGAUAUAUCUACAAGCCACAGAGCACCAAAGAUGGCCAGAAAAACACCAGAAGCUGGGAGACAAGCAUGGAACAGGUUCUGCCUCACAGCACUCAGAAGGAAGAAACCUGCCCACACAUUGAUCUUGGACUUCCAGCCCCCAGAACUGUGAGACAAUACAUUUCUGUUGCUUAAACCACCCAGUGUGUGGUAGUUUGUCAUGGCAGCCCUAGCAAACUAAUACAGAUUUUGGUAACAGAAAGUGGGAUGCUUCUGUAACAAAUAGCUAAAAAUGUGGAAGUGGCUUUGGAAUUUGGUAAUGGGUAGAGGUUAGAAGAGUUCUGAGAUGCUUGACAGAAGAAGCCUGGAUUGCCUGUAGGAGACUGUUGUAGAAAUAUGAUCGUCAAAGGUGUUUUCAGUGAGGCCUCAGAUGGAAAUGAGAAACAUGUUAUAUGAAGCUGCAGGAAAGAAAACCUUUGUUACAAAGUGCAGAUAACUUGGCUGAACUGUGUUCUACUUUUUGAAAAGUAGAACUUAUAAGGAAUGAAAUAGGAUAUUUAGCUGAGGAUAUUUCUAAGCAAAGUGUUGAAGGCAUGGUCUGGCUUCUUCUUGCUGCUUUUGGUAAAAUGCAAAAGGAGAGAGAUGAAUCAAAGAAGGGACUGCUUAUCAGAAAGAAAUCAGCACUUAAUGUUUCAGAAGAUUCUCAGCGUAUCCAGAUAUAGUGUGCUCUGGAAACAGGGCCAAAGGUGUGGCUGGACAACCACUUGCCAGAGAGACUCAGUGUGCCGCUUGUGGAUCCAGUCAACCAUCUCUGCAGAAAUGCUGCCAGCUUGGACUGAAGGGACAGAGAUGGGAUGAAAUGAAGAAAGGCUGUCAGGAUUCUGGGGUUCUACAAGCAGGAAAUGGGCUAAUAGAGCUACUCAGCUGCAAAUAUGUGUUAUCCUUACAAGAAGGAAGGAAUGUCUUCGAAGGCAGUUCAGGUGCUGGCAAAGCUGCCAUCAGGGCCCAGAGGGCAGCAUCCUUCACCCAGGUGUGGUACAUGAGGCGCCUGUCCCUUGCUGCUUGUGGCUUGUUGAGUCACUGCUGACAUGGUCGGUGAGCACCAGGUCUGGACUCUGUUCUCUCUACCUUGAUCUCCUAGGUUUUAUUCUCAGCUUGGUACCUGGGUUUGUUCUGGGUGCCCAUUUGAUUGGCAUCCUUGGUGGAAUUAGGCCAUUCUUUUUUAUCCCUCUUUACUCUCUUUUAUGUUUCUGUUUUGCAUUGUCCUGUCUGAAAUUGUUGUUUGGCCCAGAAGGAGACUUACAAGGUAGAAUGCAGGCAUAGAUCCUGUAAGCUUGUUGUUUGAGCCAGCCUCACAGACUGGUGAGUGUACAGUUCUCACUGGGCUGAUAUCCACCUGGACUAAUUUUGCUGUGAGUGACUAAUAGAACUGGAUGAGGUUCUCCUUCCAUCUGAAGUUUUUGUCUAAGUGCUUGGCUUGGCUCCACAGACAGUGUUCUCGCUGGUUUUUUGUCUGCUGGUGGUGCAGAUUGUCAAGCUUGCAUUGGGAGGAGGACAGCCAUCAUGCUGGGGACUCAAAACAUGAAGUGCUCAAGCCUCACAUUUCUACUGACCACUGCCAACACUCGUGGGGUUGUCCAAGUAUAAAUCCUUGCCUCCUCUAGGAAAAACUCCUGCUUCUUAUACUUACUCCCAUUACAAUGCUAAUUCUUGUGCCUAUCUCUAAACGACAUAACUUCAUCAAGGAUGAUUUGAUUUUCAGUGGCCACUCUGGGGAAGACUUGACUAGAGCAAAAUUGUUCAUUUGAGAAGUGCUUUAGAAAAAAAAGGAAAUAAGUUUUCUCAGGCCCAAUGGGCAGCAUUUUUUAAUUGGUAUGCAAGGCCUCCAAAUGAAAUUCUGAUUUAAUAAUUGCUUCACUAAGAGUCAUUGGCUAAAGCUAAUGAGCAAUUUGACUAAAUUAAGCAACAACAAACUAGACUCAUUUGCCUGCUAAAUCCUUUUCCAUCCUGUCUUUCAGUUGCUUCCCUCUACAAAACUCUCCUUCAUUCCCCUUAUCUUUUUGAUGUCUCUCCUUACUCACCCCUAUCAACUCCUCCCUUAUUAUACCCCUGUUCAGACUCCCUCCCUUUCGCCUAAGACCCAAACUUCCACCUCUCCCAUGAGCCAGGUAUGCAGGUAACUAUAGAAUUUAAGCCUUGGACCUGAGCUGAAUUAAGGAUUUCUCUAAAUACAAAUUAGACCAGCAACUACUGGUAGAAGAAAUCAGAAUUAUAUUGAGCGCCUAUAAGCUGCAUUGCCCACCCUAUAUUAACCUCUUUUUUUAUUGCUGUCCUAAAUUCUUUAAUUUGAAAAAGGAAGAAAUGAGCAUGAGUCAUUUAAAAGAAGAAUUCAAAAGCCAGACUGGUAGAAAUGGGGUAAGUUGUGCUGCUGGUUAAAAUUCUCAACCAGGGCUUGGAGAAGCACAAUGGCCAGCAGCUCUUAGGUUAGUGACUUGGUUAGUCAAUAUCCAGGAUUGCAGAAAAUGUUUAAUUGGCAGGCUGGGCACUUUUGGAGGCACCAAGGAAUACCUCUACUCAGCCUAUUGCUCCUUAGGAUAAAGCAAGAUAGAUGAUAUCUUCUAAGGCUUCCAUGGGUUUAGACUGACACUCGUCCUCAUGACUCCAGCAAGCUUUGGAUUCUGACAGUGGAACUGUAAGUGCUAAUGUGGGAAUCCAUGGAGAGGUUUGGGGGAAUUUGGGGGUGGAGACAGAGUAAGCCAUGAGAAAUUGUACAUAAAAUUAUAUGUGUAUGUGUGCCUAUGCAUAUUUUCCUGAGGAUAGAGUCACUAGAGUUUAUCAGAUUAUCAAACGGUCCUGAGUCCCAAAAAAAGGCCAAGAACUACUUCAGUUUAGGUUAUGGCUGAGGCUUUGGGGUCUCUAUAA